Molecule: small nuclear RNA, 110 nt
Organism: Arvicanthis niloticus (Nile rat)
Lineage: Eukaryota; Metazoa; Chordata; Mammalia; Rodentia; Muridae
Source: RefSeq, a predicted model, not a curated record
GUUUUCUCUCGCUUCGACAGCACAUAUACUAAAAUUGGAAUGAGAUAGAGAAAAUUAGCAUGGCCCCUGUGCAAGUUUGUAAAGCGUUUCAUAGGUUUUGAAAUAUAAAU